RNAcentral lists this ribosomal RNA (476 nucleotides) under uncultured bacterium. RNAcentral's name for it is "bacterial SSU rRNA". It matches the Rfam family "Bacterial small subunit ribosomal RNA", at positions 32 to 507 of the family's 1533-position model. The record is from RNAcentral.
AACGCUGGCGGAAUGCUUUACACAUGCAAGUCGAACGGUAGAGGGGGCAACCCCUUGAGAGUGGCGAACGGGUGAGUAAUAUAUCGGAACGUGCCCAGUCGUGGGGGAUAACGUAGCGAAAGCUACGCUAAUACCGCAUAUGAUCUAUGGAUGAAAGCGGGGGAUCGCAAGACCUCGCGCGAUUGGAGCGGCCGAUAUCAGAUUAGGUAGUUGGUGAGGUAAAGGCUCACCAAGCCGACGAUCUGUAGCUGGUCUGAGAGGACGACCAGCCACACUGGGACUGAGACACGGCCCAGACUCCUACGGGAGGCAGCAGUGGGGAAUUUUGGACAAUGGGCGCAAGCCUGAUCCAGCAAUGCCGCGUGCAGGAUGAAGGCCUUCGGGUUGUAAACUGCUUUUGUACGGAACGAAACGGUGAGCUCUAAUACAGUUUGCUAAUGACGGUACCGUAAGAAUAAGCACCGGCUAACUACGUG